RNAcentral lists this microRNA (22 nucleotides) under Caenorhabditis briggsae. Its description in RNAcentral is "Cbr-Let-7-P8_3p* (star (passenger))". The record is from RNAcentral. Lineage: Eukaryota; Metazoa; Nematoda; Chromadorea; Rhabditida; Rhabditidae.
ACAUCGUCUGUCCUAACUCGCC